Molecule: ribosomal RNA, 346 nt
Filed under: Ligilactobacillus aviarius
Lineage: Bacteria; Bacillati; Bacillota; Bacilli; Lactobacillales; Lactobacillaceae
Description: bacterial SSU rRNA
Rfam family: Bacterial small subunit ribosomal RNA
Source: RNAcentral
AUAAAUUGAGAGUUUGAUCCUGGCUCAGGACGAACGCUGGCGGCGUGCCUAAUACAUGCAAGUCGAACGAGAAUUUCUUACACCGAGUGCUUGCACUCACCGUAAGAAAUUCGAGUGGCGGACGGGUGAGUAACACGUGGGUAACCUGCCCAAAAGAAGGGGAUAACAUUUGGAAACAAAUGCUAAUACCGUAUAACCAUGAUGACCGCAUGGUCAUUAUGUAAAAGGUGGUUUUGCUAUCGCUUUUGGAUGGACCCGCGGCGUAUUAACUAGUUGGUAGGGUAACGGCCUACCAAGGUGAUGAUACGUAGCCGAGUUGAGAGACUGAUCGGCCACAAUGGGACUG